This 253-nucleotide ribosomal RNA is filed under the name uncultured bacterium. Its description in RNAcentral is "partial 16S ribosomal RNA". It matches the Rfam family "Bacterial small subunit ribosomal RNA", at positions 524 to 776 of the family's 1533-position model. The record is from RNAcentral.
UACGUAGGGUGCAAGCGUUAAUCGGGAUUACUGGGCGUAAAGCGUGCGCAGGCGGUGAUGUAAGACAGGUGUGAAAUCCCCGGGCUUAACCUGGGAACUGCAUUUGUGACUGCAUCGCUGGAGUGCGGCAGAGGGGGAUGGAAUUCCGCGUGUAGCAGUGAAAUGCGUAGAUAUGCGGAGGAACACCGAUGGCGAAGGCAAUCCCCUGGGCCUGCACUGACGCUCAUGCACGAAAGCGUGGGGAGCAAACAGG